Pseudonaja textilis is the source of this 120-nucleotide non-coding RNA. The record is from RefSeq and is a predicted model, not a curated record. Lineage: Eukaryota; Metazoa; Chordata; Lepidosauria; Squamata; Elapidae.
AUUAGGAUUGUAUGACAAUGAGGAGGUUGGGGAGGAACCUGGGCCAGUCCUGGAGGCCGAAGAAGGCUCGGACAAGGGCUCUACGCCAGAGGUAGAGAUGGGACCAAGGCAGGCUGGCAG